This 459-nucleotide ribosomal RNA is filed under the name uncultured bacterium. Its description in RNAcentral is "partial 16S ribosomal RNA". It matches the Rfam family "Bacterial small subunit ribosomal RNA", at positions 338 to 795 of the family's 1533-position model. The record is from RNAcentral.
CCUACGGGAGGCAGCAGUGAGGAAUAUUGGUCAAUGGCCGGGAGGCUGAACCAGCCAAGUCGCGUGAGGGAAGACGGCCCUACGGGUUGUAAACCUCUUUUGUCAGGGAGCAAGGUGCAGGUCGGGACCUGCUGUGAGAGUACCUGAAGAAAGAGCAUCGGCUAACUCCGGGCCAGCAGCCGAGGAAAUACGGAGGAUGCGAGCGUUAUCCGGAUUUAGUGGGUGUAAAGAGUGCGCAGGCGGAGGCACAAGUGAGCGGUAAAACCGCGGGGCUCAACCCCGCUCCGCCGUUGAAACUGUGUCCCUUGAGUGCGCGAAGGGUAGGCGGAAUGCGUGGUGUAGCGGUGAAAUGCAUAGAUAUCACGCAGAACUCCGAUCGCGAAGGCAGCCUACCGGCGCGCAACUGACGCUCAUGCUCGAAAGUGUGGGUAUCAAACAGGAUUAGAUACCCCUGUAGUC